This 516-nucleotide ribosomal RNA is filed under the name Pseudomonas sp. RNAcentral describes it as "bacterial SSU rRNA". It matches the Rfam family "Bacterial small subunit ribosomal RNA", at positions 65 to 576 of the family's 1533-position model. The record is from RNAcentral. Lineage: Bacteria; Pseudomonadati; Pseudomonadota; Gammaproteobacteria; Pseudomonadales; Pseudomonadaceae.
AGCGGUAGAGAGGUGCUUGCACCUCUUGAGAGCGGCGGACGGGUGAGUAAUACCUAGGAAUCUGCCUGGUAGUGGGGGAUAACGUUCGGAAACGGACGCUAAUACCGCAUACGUCCUACGGGAGAAAGCAGGGGACCUUCGGGCCUUGCGCUAUCAGAUGAGCCUAGGUCGGAUUAGCUAGUUGGUGAGGUAAUGGCUCACCAAGGCUACGAUCCGUAACUGGUCUGAGAGGAUGAUCAGUCACACUGGAACUGAGACACGGUCCAGACUCCUACGGGAGGCAGCAGUGGGGAAUAUUGGACAAUGGGCGAAAGCCUGAUCCAGCCAUGCCGCGUGUGUGAAGAAGGUCUUCGGAUUGUAAAGCACUUUAAGUUGGGAGGAAGGGCAUUAACCUAAUACGUUAGUGUUUUGACGUUACCGACAGAAUAAGCACCGGCUAACUCUGUGCCAGCAGCCGCGGUAAUACAGAGGGUGCAAGCGUUAAUCGGAAUUACUGGGCGUAAAGCGCGCGUAGGU